Molecule: ribosomal RNA, 171 nt
Filed under: uncultured bacterium
Lineage: Bacteria
Description: partial 16S ribosomal RNA
Rfam family: Bacterial small subunit ribosomal RNA
Source: RNAcentral
CGGACGAUCCUGUUGGUGCCAAAGGUUGAUUCCGGUGGCGGAUGGGCAUGCGUCGCAUUAGUUAGUUGGCGGUGUAACGGACCACCAAGACGACGAUGCGUAGGGGUUCUGAGAGGAAGGUCCCCCACACUGGUACUGAGACACGGACCAGACUCCUACGGAAGGCAGCAG